CGAGCAUUGAAUGAUCUGAUCUUCAUGCCCAAUUCCUCCGAUUAUAGGGUUUCCAAGCCAUGACCGACAAGCCACCGGUGCUCAAGCCGCCGCAUUCAUCCCAAGACUGGGAUUCUCUAAUCGACGACUUCCAGCACGGCGGUGCUCGCCGCCAAAAAUGGACGGCGGCCCCUCAGUUCCUCUCCUCUUUCCUUGAUCACGCGCUCUCCUUCCUCCUUAAAAAGGACUUCCCUCUCAAAAUCCCNCUUAUAUUCAUGGAAGAGUUUUCGGAAACCUUUUUCACCGACGAGUCCCAUUUGCUCCGCCUCCA
Molecule: unclassified non-coding RNA, 310 nt
Filed under: Hevea brasiliensis (rubber tree)
Lineage: Eukaryota; Viridiplantae; Streptophyta; Magnoliopsida; Malpighiales; Euphorbiaceae
Source: RNAcentral